ACCUGUUGAGGCCUGCAUAUUACUGACAAGGUGCGCGAUGAACCUCCUUCGGGAGGGGAUUAUUGGCGAACGGGUGAGUAACACGUGGGCAAUCUGCCCUUCACUCUGGGACAAGCCCUGGAAACGGGGUCUAAUACCGGAUAACACUGCGGAUCGCAUGGUCUGCGGUUGAAAGCUCCGGCGGUGAAGGAUGAGCCCGCGGCCUAUCAGCUUGUUGGUGGGGUGAUGGCCUACCAAGGCGACGACGGGUAGCCGGCCUGAGAGGGCGACCGGCCACACUGGGACUGAGACACGGCCCAGACUCCUACGGGAGGCAGCAGUGGGGAAUAUUGCACAAUGGGCGAAAGCCUGAUGCAGCGACGCCGCGUGAGGGAUGACGGCCUUCGGGUUGUAAACCUCUUUCAGCAGGGAAGAAGCGAAAGUGACGGUACCUGCAGAAGAAGCGCCGGCUAACUACGUGCCAGCAGCCGCGGUAAUACGUAGGGCGCAAGCGUUGUCCGGAAUUAUUGGGCGUAAAGAGCUCGUAGGCGGCUUGUCGCGUCGGAUGUGAAAGCCCGGGGCUUAACCCCGGGUCUGCAUUCGAUACGGGCAGGCUAGAGUGUGGUAGGGGAGAUCGGAAUUCCUGGUGUAGCGGUGAAAUGCGCAGAUAUCAGGAGGAACACCGGUGGCGAAGGCGGAUCUCUGGGCCAUUACUGACGCUGAGGAGCGAAAGCGUGGGGAGCGAACAGGAUUAGAUACCCUGGUAGUCCACGCCGUAAACGUUGGGAACUAGGUGUUGGCGACAUUCCACGUCGUCGGUGCCGCAGCUAACGCAUUAAGUUCCCCGCCUGGGGAGUACGGCCGCAAGGCUAAAACUCAAAGGAAUUGACGGGGGCCCGCACAAGCAGCGGAGCAUGUGGCUUAAUUCGACGCAACGCGAAGAACCUUACCAAGGCUUGACAUCGCCCGGAAAGCAUCAGAGAUGGUGCCCCCCUUGUGGUCGGGUGACAGGUGGUGCAUG
RNAcentral lists this ribosomal RNA (1000 nucleotides) under Streptomyces sp. ZZY-2013. RNAcentral's name for it is "bacterial SSU rRNA". It matches the Rfam family "Bacterial small subunit ribosomal RNA", at positions 32 to 1047 of the family's 1533-position model. Lineage: Bacteria; Bacillati; Actinomycetota; Actinomycetes; Kitasatosporales; Streptomycetaceae. The record is from RNAcentral.